AAUUAAAAUGUCUGCCAUCUAGUGGAAGCGCAUUUCAUUGUUCCGCCUGCCACUAUAUAUAGUCCCUCACUAUAUCGCGGUUCGCCUUUUGCGGCUUCGGUGCAUUGCAGAUUUGUUGUUUUCUAACAUUUUGACAGUGGCUGAUUCGCUCGUUUGGGAUCAUUUCACACACAAACAGAAGCGCAACGUGCCUGUUGUAAAGCACAGCUGGCCCGAGUCACAAAACUACAUGUUUAUGGCGUCCCAACAGCAGGAAAGACACGGCCGCCGGUGCACUUUGGAUCGCAUCGUUGAACCAAGGCCACAUACAAUGAUGUGGCGGGCCGGAUCUGGCCCCCGGGCCUUGACUUUGACACCCGUGAUCGAGAUGAAAAUGUUUUUGACACCAGUGAUGAAGAAUACGGGAGGGAAUAAUAUGCGGAUGUUGCCGGGGGGGGCGUCAUUCAGGGGCGGGGGCGAAGUCCAAGUCGGGGUAACAUUGGAGCAUCAAGUCAACGGAGGUAGGCCGCUCGCCGCAUCAGCGCAACCACGCAAGACGAAAACACAGUGCGGCGCAGACACCGAGAAUCACAGACAAUGAAAAAAGCACGAGUCAUUUCGGCACCUCUUGCAUUGUGCCAGCAAAACGUGACUACGAGAUGCGUUUACCGGCCGAACCAGAAACUCUUCAGGCCGAACACCGGAAAGGUGGGACAUUCUACAUUUGCAACCACAUGAAGUCUUUUUCAAUGCAAGUUCAGUGAGUAGCACCGGUACUCUUAUUUUAGUAGUGCUGCGCGUGCGUCCAUGUAAAGUGUCCGUGUCAGGAAACCUGUGGGCAGACUUCCAAGGAUGCGCGUCAGGCGUCAGGCAAAGUGUCCACAGCUGACACUGAUGAGCUGUGGUCAUCACCAAGUCCCAGCCUCUUUUCAAGCUGGCCAAAUAACAUCAUCCUCAACACGGAGGAGGGGGAAACAAAUGCACCGUUACAGCCAAUGUCCACAAGGCAGUGCCGAAGAGCCCCUAAAGUCUCCGCAACACAAUGGAAACCAGAAUGUGUAUGUGUGUGUGUGUGUGUGUGUGUGUAGCUACGUCUGCCGGAGUGAAAGCGCAUCACUGUCGACAGAUCGGUGACUACGGUACUCCUAAGGCCCGCAACCAAAAGCGACUCAACUGGGACAAUCGCGGAACAAACCCAGUCGGCAACUCCCAGCUGCACAUCAGGCGAUUGACCCUCGCCGACCCCCGGUGUUGUCAUCGGGAAACAACGUUUUUGGGAGAUGCCACGUACCUCGUUGCAAUCUCAUCUUUUCCCCAUUGAAUCACAAGUAACAUAAGCAUGCCACAAGAGGGCAGCAAACCAAUACUUUUGUCGAAAUGAAACUCCUCAACUGACUUCAACAUCGCUGAACGUUUGUGUUCUAGGGCCACAUUGGAAUUUUAAACAGUACACGUUCGUGGAAGAGCUUGAAAAAAAAAAAAGAGAAAAUGCAACAAAAUAGCCAUAGAUGCUUAUUUUCAAAUUGUAUUUUUGCUUAAAAAUAGAAAUGUACAGUAUAUUUACAAUUGAUUAUGGUUAUAUUCGAUAAAUGACCAGUAAAUUUGGACCUACGAACGACAACCGCGGCCUAUUGUCCAAUGAAAACCUCUCUGGCAGUGUUAAUGAGCCCGACGUGAGUGUCAUUUGUAAAAAGCAAAAUUCGCUCUGAUUGUGAAAAUAAAUGAGUGAUGCCAGCUUAUAAACGUGACAACAUACUGUAAAUACACACAAGCACUAACUAGGUCUGCGUACAGUGAUGCCAUUGUAAAAUGUUCGGAUGCAAGUCCAACUCCAUCUUGGCACAGUACUUAGUUAAAAUUGGAUUGAUUUCAUGCAUUCGGCAGAUCAAACAACAUUUAUCUCCUUUAGUUCACUCCGCUUUUGAGCGAGCGUCUGUCUCCGUGUGUUCUCAUAAAAGCUGAGCGCAUUCCAUCUGCAAUGAAACGGCUGAAUACGACGUUUAAUUGAAUCAGAAGGAUGAACUGUCUUUUUUUUAUUUCCAGUGAAAAUAGACAGCCAGCCGCCAGAGCAGACAGAAAUUGUGGAAACGCUGCAGAGGAAAAAACAACAACAACAACAACACACAAACAGCUACGUAACAUUUUUACAGGACUUCAGCAGGAAUCAAAUUCCGUCACAUCAUGCAAAUGUCCAUUUUCAGCCGUAAUGUUAUAAAUCGUAAGCGUAAAUAACUGUCCUUCUAUGUUCAGGUGACAGGCAAGCUGGAGCCUAAGGCUGACUUUGGGUGAUAUUUGGGGUGGGGCGUCAAUUGUAAACGUUCCACACAUGCUGUAAAGUGUGACUACCCAUAAGCACUGCUGCAACAUUUGUUUUCAAUUUGAACACAGAGAAAGGCAUUAUACAUUCCAAAAAUUGAGGAGAAAAAAAAAACCAUACUUACUGGUCAAUUUUCAGCUUUGGUUCCUCACUCUUGUGGUUAAAUACGGUCCAUCGGGUCACGGGAAACGCAAGUGAUGAGCCAAUAACACCUACGAAGAAGCGAAGCGGUAAGAAAAAGCUCAAAUUGUUCGGCCCAAGCAUAAACGUGUUGACAUUUACCAAGGAAGAAAAAGGAAGGGAGGCCCUGACGACCGUGCAAUUAUGAGCACUUUAUUUUCAAUUAAGACUCUUCUUUCUUCCAUUUUUGAUGAUGCAGACUUCUGUGGACUGAAGAUUGAUUUAUUAGCAAACGUCUGCAUGUUUGCUUAUUUAAGUGAAGGUGCACUAAGAAAAAAAACUGCAAGAAUAGCCAUUUUCCUAAUGCUAUUGUGUUACAAAACUGAAUCCUGCUUUUGGGUUUUUCAAAAAGGUAACGUUCUUAUAGUUUCCAUGUGUGAGGAUUGUCUCGCCAUGACAAAAAAAAAAAAAGAAAAAGAAACACUUGCGAAGUAAAGUACGAUUUCCCCUCGGGAUUAUUAAAUAAUUGAAAUUGGUAAUGUAUUAAAUAGUUCAUAUUUGAACUACAAGAUAAACUCAUGAAUCAAUGGCUAAAAGUUUGAAGCUUAGUCUCCAUGGUAACAAGUAACCAAGACUGGAACUAAAGGGUAACUUUGACAUAUUGCGAGACUAUUCUUGUUAAUUGCCUACUUUUGGUGCACAAAACAGGUUUGCGUGUGUUGGGCCUCGGUUGCAUUAGAAAGGCUGGACGACAUUUCACCUCAGCAUCGAUCUCCCGAGAAAACCACUUUACGGUUUCAUCUAAUUCCUCCUGGCACUGAAAAGCUUCUACAAAGAGAACGUCCACAUGAGGGUUUAAAGGGAGAAAAAUACUGGACGGGUCAAUCAUUCUAUAGAUUUCCUGGAAGCAAUGAACGUGGGGCUUUUUACAGAGAUAUGGUCAAUUAGAAAUAUUAACUUGGGUGUUCAAUUUU
Phyllopteryx taeniolatus (common seadragon) is the source of this 3390-nucleotide long non-coding RNA. RefSeq lists it as uncharacterized. The record is from RefSeq and is a predicted model, not a curated record. Lineage: Eukaryota; Metazoa; Chordata; Actinopteri; Syngnathiformes; Syngnathidae. The transcript is spliced from 4 exons.